Molecule: long non-coding RNA, 725 nt
Organism: Pezoporus flaviventris
Lineage: Eukaryota; Metazoa; Chordata; Aves; Psittaciformes; Psittacidae
Exons: 2
Source: RefSeq, a predicted model, not a curated record
CAGUAUAUUCAAGCUGAACAGAUCUGAAGGAGGAGCCUCUGGAGGCUGCAGAUUCCUGGUUCACCAAUGGCAGCAGCUUUAUUAAAGAUGGUAAAUGAAGAGCAGGAUAUGCCAUAACUACAACUUCAAAGGUAAUAGAAGCUAAACCAUUACCCUCUAACACCUCAGCACAAAAGGCAGAAAUAAUAGCCCUGACUAGAGCCUUGGAGUUGGCAAAGGACAAGCGAUAAACAUAUGAACUGAUUCCAAAUAUGCCUUUGGUGUAGUUCAUGCACAUGGAGCAAUUUGGAAAGAAUGAGGACUUUUAAAUACCCAGGGAAGACAAAUUAAACAUGCAAUGGAAAUUCUACGAUUGUUAGAAACUGUACAAUUACCCAAUGAAGUAGCUAUCAUACAUUGUAAAGGUCAUCAAAGAGGUAACUCUUAUCAAGAGAUUGGAAAUAAUUUUGCUGAUCGUGAGGCUAAACGGGCAGCAGAAACAGAAAGAGUUGAGGUGAUGUCCUUAAUUCCUGACGGUAAACUGGUAAUUAAGCAAAAUAAACCUAGGUACUCUAAAGAAGAUAUGAAACUAAUUGAAGACUUGGAAGGACAGGAAAAUGAAAAGGGUUGGAUAAAAAUACCUGAUGGGUGAGUAGUGAUCCCCUAUAAUCAAUUAUGGAAGUUGUUACAAGAAGAACAUAACAAAAGUCAUUGGAGAAGUAAUGCCUUGUAUAAACAUUUAAACA